This 921-nucleotide non-coding RNA is filed under the name Petrodromus tetradactylus (four-toed elephant shrew). RNAcentral describes it as "partial 12S ribosomal RNA". It matches the Rfam family "Bacterial small subunit ribosomal RNA". Lineage: Eukaryota; Metazoa; Chordata; Mammalia; Macroscelidea; Macroscelididae. The record is from RNAcentral.
UUGGCAGGCUUAUACAUGCAAGUAUCCGCUGACCGGUGAAGAUGCCCUUUUGCACAUCCGUACGGAUUCAGAAGGAGCUGGUAUCAAGCCCACCCUGGUAGCUCAAGACGCCUUGCUCAGCCACACCCCCACGGGAUACAGCAGUAAUAAAAAUUAAGCAAUAAACGAAAGUUUGACUAAGCCAUGCCAACAGAGAGUCGGUUAAUCUCGUGCCAGCCACCGCGGUCAUACGAUUGACUCAAACUAAUAAGACCCGGCGUAGAGUGUGGUUAAAACUCAGACCAGCAGUAAAGUUAAAUUUGUUCUCAGCUGUAAAAAGCUAAAGAACCAAAGACAAACAAACCACUAAAGUGACUUUAUUAAGCCAUGAACCCACGAUAGCUGGGGCACAAACUGGGAUUAGAUACCCCACUAUGCCCAGCCUUAAACUCAGAUAAUUAGUAACAAAAUUAUCCGCCAGAGAACUACGAGCUACAGCUUAAAACUCAAAGGACUUGGCGGUGCUUUAUACCCCCUAGAGGAGCCUGUUGCAUAAACGAUAAACCCCGAUAAACCCGACCAUCACUUGCUAAGUCAGUCUAUAUACCGCCAUCUUCAGCAAACCCUUAAAAGGAUAAACAGUAAGCUCAAACGUACCCGCAAAAACGUUAGGUCAAGGUGUAACCUAUGUGAUGGAGAAAAUGGGCUACAUUUUCUAGUCUAGAACAUUACACGAACUUCUACGUGAAACACCAGAACGAAGGAGGAUUUAGCAGUAAGUCCGGAAUAGAGAGCCCGACUGAACAUGGCCAUGAAGCACGCACACACCGCCCGUCACCCUCCUCAAGUACUUAAGAUCAAAAACUAUAUUUUACAAAUACGAGUAUGAGAGGAGACAAGUCGUAACAAGGUAAGCAUACUGGAAAGUGUGCUUGGAUUACU